UGGCUGCCACCUAAGAAGGCUAAAAAGGCCUGACCAAGAGUGGUUCUUCUAACCACCAGCCAAAGCUGCACACCACCAAGUCAAUAGCAGCUUAACUGCAAGAGAAGGAGGAGAUUUAUUAUUUUUGAAUCCAAUAAGGAGAAGGAGAGUGAGCAGUUUGGUUCCAAAAAGAAAAAGGAAGAAAAAGAAGACUCCUUGAAGAAGAUAGCAAAAGGAUUCCCAAAACUAGUUGAACUCAAACACUUAAGAAGAAGGGAGGGGAAAAACUAGGAUCUUGAUGACCAUAAAGACCUUCUCCUAUAUACAUUAUAAAUCCAAAAAUAAGAAGAAUUCUACAUAUCCAUGGAGGAAUCUUUACUAGAAAAGAG
This 368-nucleotide long non-coding RNA is filed under the name Carica papaya (papaya). RNAcentral describes it as "long non-coding RNA (CPAP_LNC014113)". The record is from RNAcentral. Lineage: Eukaryota; Viridiplantae; Streptophyta; Magnoliopsida; Brassicales; Caricaceae.